AGUAGUGAAAACACAACAUCCACACGAAAGACUCAGAUUGGAAGAUUUUGUUCAGCUUUAUAGGAAAGUAGAACUGAUUCAGAUGCUGGACCAGAAGAUAUUCUUUGGAUCCUCCUUAAAAAUUCUACAUUCAGUGAAGUUUAUGGGUAUAACUUCUGCAUAUGGAUGAAGAAAUGAGCACUAGAAAGGUGAAACAAGUUAUCCAAGGACGGGCAGCUGGUAAAUAGUACACCUGGGAUUAGAACUUGUGUCUUCUGAUUAUUGAAACCAGUCUUGAUAAGGAUGGAAGAAUAAGUGAAGAAAUGUGAUAGAUAGGUUCUUAAUAAAUCCAGUUCUC
Mastomys coucha (southern multimammate mouse) is the source of this 337-nucleotide long non-coding RNA. RefSeq lists it as uncharacterized. Lineage: Eukaryota; Metazoa; Chordata; Mammalia; Rodentia; Muridae. The record is from RefSeq and is a predicted model, not a curated record. The transcript is spliced from 2 exons.